GUCAGGAAAAGCCGCUGUGGCCGAGGGCCGUGGAGUGCGCCGGCCUUUCCCUCGAAAAUCAGGUGUCCUUGUGUAAAUUCACAUUUCAGGUUCCUCUUUCAGCUCGAGCCUCUAUUUACCUUUAUUCUGGAACCUUUGCAGAGGUGGAGUCCACCCCGUGCAGAGGCGUUUCACACUGCAGUUGGAUGGCAGUGACAGUUUGGAGCUUGGAAAAAUAGGAUGGGUUUGGUAACGCCUCUCAAGGGUGCUAAGAGUUUUUACUCUGUUUUUGGAAUAUCGUUUGAGAUGAGAAAUUAGGUUCUUUUCAGAGGCACUUCAGUAAUUCAACUAUAUGAUUUCAUUGACUUCAUGGUUGAAAUAGUUAUGCAUAUUUUUAAUGUACCAAGAGCUACAAUUAAUCUCUAUUCUGCAGUUAUAAAUAUUGGUGAAAUUUUAACUCUUUCAAGAUCAAUGGCAAAGCUCUGUCUUCAGUGGGGCAAGGACUGACAGAAUCUGAAAAGGAGGUGAUUGAAAAGGAAGAUGGGAAGUCAGAGGCAGAUUGUACUUACGCUGAGAAGCGUGGACAGACUCACAACAGACAGGAGAUAGAGACUGGGAAAACAGCUGAUUGUGAAUUUAUCUGUCUUUUCAGGCAGAGAGCCCAGAAUGUGAUUUUGGAAAAGGGAGAGAGAAAGACCUAAAUUCUGAGAAUCUGUGGAUACAUUUGGCUAGAAGAUGAGUAUGAGAAGCCUGAGAAAUGGACAUGGUAGCAUUUCCCAGAAAAAUAAGAGAAUGGGAUCACCCUUGUUCCUGUUGAUGCAUGCUCAUGAUCUGGACCCCACGGCUCAAGCAAGACUGAGGGACAAAUCUUGUCAGGCAGCGUGGUAAGAAGCUGGAUCAUCUUUCUUCAUCUGCUCACUGCCUUCACAGAAUUUGAAAGUGUGACGAAGUAUUUCAUCCCUUUACAGGAUUAGGGAUACGGAUUUGCCUGUCAUGGAGGUGCUGCUGGCUGGGUCACUGCCUGGUAGAGGGUGUCUCUUAAACCUGAUAUAACCUGAAGCAUGCACUUUCUUAGGAGGUCUACAGCUGGGCUGGAGAACUGCAAACGUUCAUCCUUUCACUCCUGUCAUCUGCUUCCACAUGACUGCAGUGCCUCUGCUGUGCUCUCAGCUCACUCACCCUGAAACGCUCCUUGUGAUGGUUUGUACUGAGCUGCUACAGAGCAGACUUUGCUUUUGGUGGCAGUAUCCCUUGUUGCUGCGUCAUUUAUAGAAGAGAUGACUUCAUCCUUGCCUUUAUUCCACUGGGACCAGCUGCCCUACACACAGGAACCAAAAGAGGCAAAUACCUAUAACCUCUUUCAAUUUCCUAUUGAAGGCCUACAUCACAUGAACUUCUUGGGGUUUUUUGAGAGGUAAAGCUUUUUAAUUUUUUACAAACAAACAAAAAAAAACCCCAAAAACCCCAAAACUACAAACCAGAAACCAACCUAAAACCAACAAAACCAAAACCUACCAAAAAAAAAAAAAUCAAAACCUACACAUUGAACCCAAGUUGGAGAAACAGCUGCAUCGUGUGACUGAUACA
Neopelma chrysocephalum (saffron-crested tyrant-manakin) is the source of this 1566-nucleotide long non-coding RNA. RefSeq lists it as uncharacterized. The transcript is spliced from 6 exons. The record is from RefSeq and is a predicted model, not a curated record. Lineage: Eukaryota; Metazoa; Chordata; Aves; Passeriformes; Pipridae.